Long non-coding RNA from Arabidopsis thaliana (thale cress), 256 nucleotides. RefSeq annotates it as other RNA. The transcript has a single exon. The record is from RefSeq. NCBI's taxonomy places the organism in Eukaryota, Viridiplantae, Streptophyta, Magnoliopsida, Brassicales, Brassicaceae.
GGUGGUGGAGAGGACGACGGAGAUGGCAGAGCAAUGGGUAUUCUCAACCACCAGAUCUGAAAACUUUUUCUAUGCAUAACCUCGACGAGAAACUUAUGUGUAGAUUUUGAGAUUUGAUUUGAUAUUUCUAGGGCUUUUACUUUCUUCUCUGUAGAUACAUGUUUAGGAUUUGUAUCCAAAUUGGAAUUUAUUAAAAUUCAAAUUGGAUUUGUUUUCCAAUCCGAAUUUGUUGCUUAUGUUGUGUUGUAGAUCUAGA